UCUGUGAAGUGGCGAGACGAGAGACUUCACUUGUGGUUGGGGAUUUGGUUAGUAUGGAUGGCGUGUAAGGAUCAAAUUUGGAGGUUAGACCUCGUGUUAGUAAAAAUGUGUGACUUUUGAAUUAUUGAUCACCAAACCUAUCUAGGAGUGUUUGAGAAUAAAGAAGGUAUUAAUCCAAUGGGGUUUACAGCAUAACAUCAUCGUAUCACACGCCAUCCAUGUGAAAUCUUAAAUAACACCUCGAAACACCAAGAGGCCAAUCUCCAACCAUAAGUCACUGGGAGUAGUUACUUGGGGAACAAGCCUUUUGGGGGCAUUCCAGCUCCUUUUCGUAUUAGCACUUGGACCUACAGGAGGCAUGAUUUUUGCACUAUCCUAGUGCUCAUUUCCGGGGAUGCGCCAGCAACCUAUUUAGGAGUCGUUCGGGUUUGUUUGGGAACUACCAAUUUAGUUUACCUAUUUAUAUAACAUAUUUGUAUAUUAUGGUAUUAAGUUCCCAAACUCAUGUAUCAUUUUGCGGUACUGUACGUUGAGCUCUGCGUAUUUGCCCAAAAGGUAUUACUUCGAAUAUUUUAUUGUUUAUUUAGGUCGAUUUCAUAUCAUUAUGUAAAUUUAGGUUGUAUUAUUUGCUUGUUUCCCAAAUAUGUUAUUUAUUCGCUUUAUUUCAUUUGUUCAGUUAAUUCGUCGCUACUUUAUUUUAUUACAUUUGCUCGGGUAAUUUAGGUCAUCGUUUCGGUAUUUAUCUUAGCUUCAUUUUUACCACUUUUAUUAAUGCAUUUGCUUAAUUCUUCAUGGUAUUUUCUCUUCGCCAGGCUUGUGCCUAUUUAUUUAUAUUACUUUUAAUAUUCAUCGGUUUUCAAUUCAGUUGUA
Diabrotica virgifera virgifera (western corn rootworm) is the source of this 870-nucleotide long non-coding RNA. RefSeq lists it as uncharacterized. The record is from RefSeq and is a predicted model, not a curated record. Lineage: Eukaryota; Metazoa; Arthropoda; Insecta; Coleoptera; Chrysomelidae. The transcript is spliced from 2 exons.